ACUGAAAAAAACCAACAUAGCAAAAUCAAAUGCUUUUUCACGUGAGCUACUCCAAAAACCAACACGUUAAAGUCACGUGUUUUUCUUUUGACUAUGAUGUGUUUUUCUUCGCGAAUGGAUGAGAGAACUCUUUCGAUUUCAACCAUUUAUAAGUCAUUAUACUAUCAUAUGUUGCUCACCAUGAAUUCACAUGAAUUUCUCAUCGAUUUGCCCCAUUCGUCUUUUCCCUUGAUUUUGAAGUGGAAAUCACGUUAAAACUAAAUGUUUUGAAUUUGAAAGUGGAGUGUUGUAAAGUUGCUCCAAAUUGAUUAGGCAAGAUGGCGAAAAGUAAAAAGUCGUGAUUGGAGCUCUAUGUUUUAAAAUAAGUUUAGUUUGUCUUUUUUACAAAAAAUCCUAGUUUUGAUCAUUAAGUACUUGUUCCGGGGCCACAUUUUGAAAAUGUUCCUGCGGACCGGGUUGGGAUGCGGGUUUGUGGUGUUCGUGGCCUUUGAAAGUCCCAAACUGUGCAACAAAGAAAUUUCGCGGAAAAUACGUCGGGCGGUGGCCAGUGGCAGGAGAACGGCAAAGAACGCCGAACCACCGCAUUCCAAACGGCGGCGUAUCGUCCACGGACCGUUCGUCAUGAAGGACAACAAAUGGUUUCAACCGUCACGUGAUCCGGUAAAUUUCCCAUCCUAACCCGCAAAUAUUUCACAUCCUCUUACCACUUUUUUCUCCUCCACACACAGAUUCAUUGUCAAAA
Molecule: long non-coding RNA, 742 nt
Organism: Culex pipiens pallens (northern house mosquito)
Lineage: Eukaryota; Metazoa; Arthropoda; Insecta; Diptera; Culicidae
Exons: 2
Source: RefSeq, a predicted model, not a curated record